GACGAACGCUGGCGGCGUGCCUAAUACAUGCAAGUAGAACGCAGUUGCGAACGGGUGAGUAACGCGUAGGUAACUGCCUCAUAGCGGGGGAUAACUAUUGGAAACGAUAGCUAAUACCGCAUACUGUGAGAUGGACCUGCUUUGUAUUAGCUCGUUGGUGAGGGAAAGGCGCGCCAAGGCGACGAUACAUAGCCGACCUGUGCGGGUGUGCGGCCACACUGUGACGGAGACACGGCCCAGACGCCUACGGGAGGCAGCAGUAGGGAAUCUUCGGCAAUGGACGGAAGGCUGACCGAGCAACGCCGCGUGAGUGAAGAAGGUUUUCGGAUCGGAAAGCUCUGUGGUCAGGGAAUCGGUAACUAACCAGAAAGGCACGGCUAACUACGUGCCAGCAGCCGCGGUAAUAC
Molecule: ribosomal RNA, 407 nt
Filed under: uncultured bacterium
Lineage: Bacteria
Description: partial 16S ribosomal RNA
Rfam family: Bacterial small subunit ribosomal RNA
Source: RNAcentral